RNAcentral lists this ribosomal RNA (349 nucleotides) under uncultured bacterium. Its description in RNAcentral is "partial 16S ribosomal RNA". It matches the Rfam family "Bacterial small subunit ribosomal RNA", at positions 338 to 679 of the family's 1533-position model. The record is from RNAcentral.
CCUACGGGUGGCAGCAGUGGGGAAUAUUGCGCAAUGGGCGAAAGCCUGACGCAGCGACGCCGCGUGAGGGAUGAAGGUCUUCGGAGCGUAAACCUCUGUCAGCAGGGAAGAACGGUCACUGUGCUAAUCAGCAGUGAAUUGACGGUACCUGCAAAGGAAGCACCGGCGAACUCCGUGCCAGCAGCCGCGGUAAUACGGAGGGUGCGAGCGUUAAUCGGAAUUACUGGGCGGAAAGCGCAAGUAGGCGGUAUGUCAAGGCAAGGGUGAAAUCCCCGCGCUCAACGUGGGAACUGCCUUUGAACCUGGCAAACUGGAGUGUGUGCGAGGAUAGUGGAGUUCCAGGUGUAGG